RNAcentral lists this ribosomal RNA (707 nucleotides) under uncultured bacterium. RNAcentral describes it as "bacterial SSU rRNA". It matches the Rfam family "Bacterial small subunit ribosomal RNA", at positions 8 to 710 of the family's 1533-position model. The record is from RNAcentral.
AGAGUUUGAUCAUGGCUCAGAUUGAACGCUGGCGGCAUGCCUAAUACAUGCAAGUCGAACGGUAACAGGCUUUUCGGAGUGCUGACGAGUGGCGGACGGGUGAGUAACGCGUGGGAAUCUGCCCUGUAGCGGGGGACAACCUUAGGAAACUGAGGCUAAUACCGCAUACCUUCUACGGAAGAAAGUAGGCCACUGAAUAUGCUUACACUACAGGAUGAGCCCGCGUUGGAUUAGCUAGUUGGUAAGGUAAUGGCUUACCAAGGCUACGAUCCAUAACUGGUCUGAGAGGACGACCAGUCACACCGGGACUGAGACACGGCCCGGACUCCUACGGGAGGCAGCAGUAGGGAAUAUUGGGCAAUGGGCGCAAGCCUGACCCAGCAAUGCCGCGUGUGUGAAGAAGGCCUUAGGGUUGUAAAGCACUUUCAGGAGGGAAGAAAAGGUUAGGAAUAAUACGCCUAACUCAUGACGUUACCUCCAAAAGAAGCACCGGCUAACUCUGUGCCAGCAGCCGCGGUAAUACAGAGGGUGCGAGCGUUAAUCGGAAUUACUGGGCGUAAAGGGUGCGUAGGCGGUUAGAUAAGUUAGAUGUGAAAUCCCUGGGCUCAACCUGGGAACUGCCUCUAAAACUAUCUAACUCGAGUGCAGUAGAGGAAAGUGGAAUUUCCGGUGUAGCGGUGAAAUGCGUAGAUAUCGGAAGGAACAUC